Mus musculus (house mouse) is the source of this 543-nucleotide long non-coding RNA. RefSeq annotates it as predicted gene, 52061. NCBI's taxonomy places the organism in Eukaryota, Metazoa, Chordata, Mammalia, Rodentia, Muridae. The transcript is spliced from 2 exons. The record is from RefSeq and is a predicted model, not a curated record.
CCUGGGAAAGCACAGCAGCUGUAUGCCCUCCGUGGGAAUGAGAUGUCCACUUAAUUAAAGCAGGGCAAGGCAGUGGCACCCCAUUCUCCUAGUCCUCAUCACUGAUGGAAUCUAGAUGGCGACUAGCUGGUGUGAGAAUUGACCUGGGAACUCUUUGCCGACUUCCAGCCCCUGUAUGAGCCAUCCUCCAGACAGCACAGGUCAGAAUGGUGCGGGGGUGUGGAGAUCAACCUCAUGAAGGAAAGUGUGGGAUGGAGAGCGAGGCGCCACAAGCUCGCCACAAGCUCCUGCGACUCCUCGAAGCGUCCUCAUUAGAUCUAAGAUGUCUCCCAGAACACCCGUGAGACAGCAGGAAGGAACUGCUUACCCCGGAAGUCCUAACGGCCCAGUUCCUUCUGAGUUACCUCAUCAGGCACAGCUUUCAUUGGGGCACAGUGACAGUGUGGUGAGAUAUGAUUGGCUGAGGAUUUAGGGGCUUGGGAUUGGCUCAAACACUGUAUAUAAGUUUAUGCAUUGUGCAAUAAACUCAGAUCUGCACCCUGA